Molecule: ribosomal RNA, 923 nt
Filed under: Arthrobacter sp.
Lineage: Bacteria; Bacillati; Actinomycetota; Actinomycetes; Micrococcales; Micrococcaceae
Description: bacterial SSU rRNA
Rfam family: Bacterial small subunit ribosomal RNA
Source: RNAcentral
UAUUGGGCGUAAGAGCUCGUAGGCGGUUUGUCGCGUCUGCCGUGAAAGUCCGGGGCUCAACUCCGGAUCUGCGGUGGGUACGGGCAGACUAGAGUGAUGUAGGGGAGACUGGAAUUCCUGGUGUAGCGGUGAAAUGCGCAGAUAUCAGGAGGAACACCGAUGGCGAAGGCAGGUCUCUGGGCAUUAACUGACGCUGAGGAGCGAAAGCAUGGGGAGCGAACAGGAUUAGAUACCCUGGUAGUCCAUGCCGUAAACGUUGGGCACUAGGUGUGGGGGACAUUCCACGUUUUCCGCGCCGUAGCUAACGCAUUAAGUGCCCCGCCUGGGGAGUACGGCCGCAAGGCUAAAACUCAAAGGAAUUGACGGGGGCCCGCACAAGCGGCGGAGCAUGCGGAUUAAUUCGAUGCAACGCGAAGAACCUUACCAAGGCUUGACAUGAACCGGUAAGACCUGGAAACAGGUCCCCCGCUUGCGGUCGGUUUACAGGUGGUGCAUGGUUGUCGUCAGCUCGUGUCGUGAGAUGUUGGGUUAAGUCCCGCAACGAGCGCAACCCUCGUUCUAUGUUGCCAGCACGUGAUGGUGGGGACUCAUAGGAGACUGCCGGGGUCAACUCGGAGGAAGGUGGGGACGACGUCAAAUCAUCAUGCCCCUUAUGUCUUGGGCUUCACGCAUGCUACAAUGGCCGGUACAAAGGGUUGCGAUACUGUGAGGUGGAGCUAAUCCCAAAAAGCCGGUCUCAGUUCGGAUUGGGGUCUGCAACUCGACCCCAUGAAGUCGGAGUCGCUAGUAAUCGCAGAUCAGCAACGCUGCGGUGAAUACGUUCCCGGGGCCUUGUACACACCGCCCGUCAAGUCACGAAAGUUGGUAACACCCGAAGCCGGUGGCCUAACCCCUUGUGGGAGGGAGCUGUCGAAGUGGGACUG